Molecule: ribosomal RNA, 217 nt
Filed under: uncultured microorganism
Description: partial 16S ribosomal RNA
Rfam family: Bacterial small subunit ribosomal RNA
Source: RNAcentral
GAGUUUGAUCCUGGCUCAGGAUGAACGCUGGCGGCGUGCUUAACACAUGCAAGUCGAACGAAGCGCCUUAUUUGAUUUUCUUCGGAACUGAAGAUUUGGUGACUGAGUGGCGGACGGGUGAGUAACGCGUGGGUAACCUGCCCUGUACAGGGGGAGUAACAAUACAGAAAUAGACUGCUAAUUAACCGCCAUAAGAACCACAGCACCGCAUGGUGCA